This is a regulatory RNA element of Eubacterium limosum KIST612, 171 nucleotides long. It matches the Rfam family "Lysine riboswitch aptamer". Rfam says of the family: Riboswitches are metabolite binding domains within certain messenger RNAs that serve as precision sensors for their corresponding targets. Allosteric rearrangement of mRNA structure is mediated by ligand binding, and this results in modulation of gene expression. The record is from Rfam. Lineage: Bacteria; Bacillati; Bacillota; Clostridia; Eubacteriales; Eubacteriaceae.
AGUAAAGAUAGAGGCGCGUUUUUAAAGAGUAACUGCCAGGAUUACGACAGGGUAAGAGGAAUGGCGGCCAAAGGGAAAAACGCCGAAGGGCCCGGUACUGUCAGCCGGCUUCCUGGGGUUAUUGUGAAGAACAAUAAUACUGUCAUCGAAAGAUGGAGUGCUGUCAAAACU